Molecule: ribosomal RNA, 253 nt
Filed under: uncultured bacterium
Lineage: Bacteria
Description: partial 16S ribosomal RNA
Rfam family: Bacterial small subunit ribosomal RNA
Source: RNAcentral
GACGUAGGGCGCGAGCGUUGUCCGGAUUUAUUGGGCGUAAAGAGCGUGUAGGCGGCCAGGUAGGUCUGCUGUGAAAACUCGAGGCUUAACCUCGAGCUGUCGGCGGAAACCAUCUGGCUAGAGUCCGGAAGAGGAGAAUGGAAUUCCCGGUGUAGCGGUGAAAUGCGCAGAUAUCGGGAAGAACACCCGUGGCGAAGGCGGUUCUCUGGGCCUUACCUGACGCUCAGGCGCGAAAGCUAGGGGAGCGAACUGG